This 518-nucleotide ribosomal RNA is filed under the name Halobacillus trueperi. RNAcentral describes it as "bacterial SSU rRNA". It matches the Rfam family "Bacterial small subunit ribosomal RNA", at positions 532 to 1051 of the family's 1533-position model. The record is from RNAcentral. Lineage: Bacteria; Bacillati; Bacillota; Bacilli; Caryophanales; Bacillaceae.
GGGGGGACGUUCUCGGAUUAUUGGGCGUAAGCGCGCGCAGGCGGUUCCUUAAGUCUGAUGUGAAAGCCCACGGCUCAACCGUGGAGGGUCAUUGGAAACUGGGGAACUUGAGGACAGAAGAGGAGAGUGGAAUUCCACGUGUAGCGGUGAAAUGCGUAGAUAUGUGGAGGAACACCAGUGGCGAAGGCGACUCUCUGGUCUGUUUCUGACGCUGAGGUGCGAAAGCGUGGGUAGCAAACAGGAUUAGAUACCCUGGUAGUCCACGCCGUAAACGAUGAGUGCUAGGUGUUAGGGGGCUUCCACCCCUUAGUGCUGAAGUUAACGCAUUAAGCACUCCGCCUGGGGAGUACGGCCGCAAGGCUGAAACUCAAAGGAAUUGACGGGGGCCCGCACAAGCGGUGGAGCAUGUGGUUUAAUUCGAAGCAACGCGAAGAACCUUACCAGGUCUUGACAUCCUUGGACCUCCCUAGAGAUAGGGAUUUCCCUUCGGGGACCAAUUGACAGGUGGUGCAUGGUUG